AUGGAGGCAGAGACAGUAGCAUCCUCUCCUUGCUCUUGCACUGAGAGGUAUUUUGGCAGCUGUGGACAGGCUCUAAGAUGGUGCUGUGAGCCCAAGAUGACUGCUCCUUCCAGUUCUGAAUGCGGGCUGCCUAGCAGAUGCUGUUCCCGAGCGGGAAGAGGCGAGCUGCCUAGUAAAAAUCAACAGAUGUUCAUGCACCUUCAGAAAGUGGCCAGUAUCCUUUUGGAACAAAGACGUGCUUUGUCUGUCUUCACACCCGCAGUGGCAGGCAAGCCAAGAUCCCCUCUGCAGGCAGCACGUGUCUGUCUGCUUUGGUAUGUGGUGGCAGACAUCUGAAACACAGUGAAUAAAAAAGACUGUAGAAAUCAAAUUGCACUCGUGGAACAAAGUGACAAUAAAAGCAACUCCCUAAUCUUCCAAAUGUCAUGUGGCUUAGAUGUAGUUUUCAACUUAGCACACAGCCAGCUCUGCCUUGAAUGCAAUUCCUCUUCAUGCUGGCCAAAAACACCUUCCAUUUAGAAACUACUUAACUGUAAUAACAUUACCCUAUGUCACACCCACCAG
RNAcentral lists this long non-coding RNA (564 nucleotides) under Fukomys damarensis (Damara mole-rat). RNAcentral's name for it is "lncRNA (ENSFDAG00000029550.1)". The record is from RNAcentral. Lineage: Eukaryota; Metazoa; Chordata; Mammalia; Rodentia; Bathyergidae.